UCUUGUGAAUGACUGCUCAAAUACCUCAAAAAUUGCAUCUUUCAUUUAAGCCCUUCGUCAGGUUCUUGCAGAUCCGUCUCGAACGAGUCUCGACAGCCCUCCUUAACAGCCUCUUACCUCGUUUGUUUCUUGGGGGUUCACCCUUGAACCGGCUUUCUCGAGUGUCCAAGCAUGUCAGAUGCCACAGAUAGUUGAUUUUGGGCAAAAGGGUCCUCUCAAGAUGUUGUUUGUCCUGGAGUCUUGAGAAAACCCUUUUGCCCAAAAUCAAUUAUUUGCUCUCUGUUGGCUUUUCCUACUCUGACCUCAUCUGGUGAUAGCUACUGAUCCCAGAAUAGUAGCAAGGAUAGAAGCACAGAGUCCUAAUUUUUGUUGUGCUGAGGAUUUUAUCAAGAAAGCAAUUGCAUCUGUUUAAAAGUAGUUAUCAAUAUUGGAGGACGUUUCCUAUCGGUUUAAGAUCUAAACCAUAUGCAUCUGUUAGAUGAAUCUAUAUUCUACUGAAGUACAAGCGAAUUUAUGGUGGACAUAGCAUCCAAUACCUACUCAUUGAUUCAAUGGAUCGAUUAUUUCUUGUAUUUUCAAAAUAUUAACUUAUGGGACUUUCUCUUGUCUUGUUUAUGAUGUGUAAGUAGAUGAUUGCAUAGCAAGUAAAACUAUUUUGUACUUUGCAAUACAUUCAUAAAUGGGAUGACAUUUAGUGAUUUGUCAUUUAUGUUUAAAUGUAAUCUGCAUAUUAAUAACGUAAAGGGCACACAUGUAUUUGUAGUCGUAAAAUAAACUCAAAAUAAAGGGCAUGGAAUAUGGAUUUUGCUCAAAAUUUCGUUCUUCAUGAUACUUUUUAGUAAAUUUAGGUAUUUGUGAGAAAAAAACGCUAAUAUAUCACCAAACUUUACAAUUCAACUUGAUUCAAUUCUUUACUCUUGAUUCCUGAGCAUAAACAUUCGAUUCACAAGUUGUAUCUUAAUUUGGCAACUGUGGUUAUGAAGCAUUAUGGGAAAAUAUGGCAUAAUGAUUGUGGCUUUAUUCUGUCCUUUUGUCGAGACUUGAUUCUUCAUUCAUCUGGACAUUGUUUUUUGGUAAAAAACAAAAAAAGUCUUGAAGCUUCGAUAAGCUUGUUAUCUAGUGUUUUCAUUUCCCUAAGUUGUGUUCAGAAAAGGUUUGAUUGGGAGAUGCUAUUGAUGGUUUACUUAUGUACUAUAAGCUGUGCAAUGGAGAGAGUAGUCCAGCCACAUGCUUGUUCUUUCCAAGCAAUGCCAUCUCUUCUUUCGGUUAUUGAACAAUAAAAUCUAAAUUUGUCGCCAGCAUCAGUAGAACCAGAAAUUAGUAGUUGGUCAUUUAAGAUGUUCUGCAGAAUCUCCUCCUACAUUUAUUCGGAUUUCUGCCACUUCCGCUCAAAUGCAUGUUACCAAACGCCUCUACUGCAGGAUGAUUACGUAGUACAUUUAGCGUGACUGUCAGAGCUUGGUAUAACUGUCUACCUCACAGCUUAAUGAGGAUGUUGAAGGAAGAUGUUUCAUGUCAGGUACCCUUAAAUUGCCAUUGGUGGUUUUCUUCAGCAAGGUGCAUACGCAUUUAUAACAUGGGCAAUGUUUUGUCUGCAAUGAUCAGCUUGCACUCCACACAGGAACAAGAUGGGAUGGAGCAAUCACUUGUCCAUACCUUUUGAGAAUAUCGGAAAAAUUUUAUUCAAAAAAAGUUGGGAAAGUCUCAUAGGAGGAAGCUCUGUGAUUUUGUUGAAUUUGUAUACAGCAUGACUUUUCAAGUUUCUUGAAGAGGCAGAUCGACAAGGGUACUGUUGAAAGUGAGACUGUACUGCUUCCCCUACAAAUGGUUUCUUGCUUGCUAAUUUAUUUUAUCCGAUGCCUUCAGAUCGGAAGAGC
Molecule: long non-coding RNA, 1877 nt
Organism: Rhodamnia argentea
Lineage: Eukaryota; Viridiplantae; Streptophyta; Magnoliopsida; Myrtales; Myrtaceae
Exons: 4
Source: RefSeq, a predicted model, not a curated record